AAGUCAUUACGAAAAGAAGCGUGAUUUGUUAUUCUCUUGAUUUACCUUGUGUAAAAUCCUCGAAUUUGUCCAAAUCUGUUUUGGAGAAUAAGGUAACGAAAUUUUCCAAAUUUGUUUUCAAUUUAUAUUCGUGCCUUAAACAAUUUAUGUGGUUGUACAUGAAGUUUGAGUUCCAUUUGACAAAGGUUAACUCAACAACGGAGAUUCGACUACACUAUGCCCCCGAUGAGCGAAGGUUUGUUUUAAAUGAAAAAGGUAAAAUCGACCCUUAUUCUUCUGCUUAUCGAGGUAAGAUGCUUGAAACCUUAGAAACACUUUUGUACUCCUCGGAUAGUGAUAAAGAUCGUGUUGAUGAACACUUAGAUCGAAACGUGCUUGACUGUCCUAUUUUAUUUAUUGAUGAUCUAUCUGUUUUGAUGGUUGAUAAAAAGAUUCUUGUUUUUGAUAAUGCAUGUGUGAGUGAAUCUAUAGACCG
RNAcentral lists this long non-coding RNA (475 nucleotides) under Gossypium barbadense (sea-island cotton). RNAcentral describes it as "long non-coding RNA (GBAR_LNC017435)". The record is from RNAcentral. Lineage: Eukaryota; Viridiplantae; Streptophyta; Magnoliopsida; Malvales; Malvaceae.